CAGUUCCGUACCGUUUAGUUCUGUCUUCCAUUAUAAAUCCUAGCAGCAGAGAUUACAUGUGAAGCAAAGCAAAAAAAAAAAAAAGAAAAGAGGAAAAGGAAAAAAAAAAUUAAUAAGUAUAAACGUUAAUGAAAUAUUCAAUCAUGAGUUUGUGCAUGUCCUUGGCAUCUCAAAAAUCCCACAGGAAACAUUUACCAGAUAAAGAAUCUUGUAAAGAAACCUUUACAAAUGGGAGUGUAGAUACACCUAACCUAUCCAGUAAUAAUACAUUCAUUAUGAGUAUACAUUCAAAUCAGUUUUAUACAGUGGAAGUUGGUGAUUCUACAUUCACAAUCCUCAAACGGUACCAGAACCUUAAGCCAAUAGGAUCGGGUGCUCAGGGUAUAGUAUGUGCUGCCAUUGACAAUGUGAAACAAAUAAGUGUUGCAAUCAAGAAGCUAAGUAGGCCAUUCCAAAAUGUCACACAUGCUAAACGGGCCUAUCGAGAGUUUGUCCUUAUGAAACUAGUUAAUCACAAAAAUAUUAUAGGUCUCUUAAAUGCAUUCACACCACAGAAAACUUUAGAGGAUUUUCAAGAUGUGUACCUUGUUAUGGAACUAAUGGAUGCAAACCUGUGUCAGGUCAUACAGAUGGAUUUAGAUCAUGAAAGAAUGUCAUAUCUUCUCUAUCAAAUGCUAUGUGGAAUUAAGCAUUUGCAUUCAGCAGGGAUUAUCCACAGAGAUUUAAAGCCCAGUAACAUAGUGGUGAAAGCAGAUUGUACUCUGAAGAUUCUAGAUUUUGGUUUGGCACGGACAGCAGGUACUGGUUUUAUGAUGACACCGUAUGUAGUAACAAGAUAUUACCGUGCACCAGAAGUCAUUCUUGGUAUGGGUUAUAAAGAAAAUGUUGAUAUCUGGUCAGUUGGCUGUAUUAUGGCUGAGUUGAUACGAGGUGGUGUACUAUUCCCUGGCACUGAUCAUAUAGAUCAAUGGAAUAAAAUAAUCCAACAGUUAGGAACGCCGUCUCAAGACUUUAUGUGUAGAUUACAGCCUACAGUUCGGAGCUACGUCGAGAACCGUCCCCGGUUUACAGGCUACACCUUUGAUAUUUUGUUUGCAGACUGUAUGUUCCCCUCAGAUAGCCGCGAACACCAAGGGCUGCAGGCUUCCGUGGCUAGAGAUUUACUGUCCAAGAUGCUGGUUGUUGAUCCUGAACGAAGGAUAUCCGUUGAUGAGGCAUUGAUGCACCCUUACAUCAAUGUUUGGUACGAUGAAGGUGAAGUAAAUGCGCCUGCUCCUGGACCUUACGACCACUCUGUAGAUGAGAGAGAACACUCUGUAGAGGAAUGGAAAGAACUUAUAUAUGAUGAAGUAAAAAAAUAUGAAAACAAAGAUAAUCAAAUAACAAAUGCUAUGCAAAAUCUCUCAGUGUAGUUUGGGAAGAACCUACCACUGCCACAGCAUGAAGACAGGCAAGCAGAGAUCAUAUCGAUGGACCAACAAAUGACUCUGCCCCUAAGGACAGUGUAGCAACAGGCUCUCCAGGUCAGAACAGGCAUCGGUGACUGCUGUGUAUAUAUAUAUAUAUAUAUAUAUGUGUGUGUAUGUGUGUAUAUAUAUAUAUAUGUGUAUAUAUAUAUAUAUACACACACACACACACUCACAGACACUCUCUUUCUCUCACACACAUACACAAAUAUAUAUAUACACACACACAUACAAACAUACACAAUGUAAAAAUACUACAGGCAUAAUUUAUUUGGGCUGACGAGCUGUUGCCUCCACCACCACCACUACCAUUACUACUACUUCUACUACUACUCUUACUACUACUACUACUACUACCACCUGUGCUGCACACUACUACUUCUACUUCGACUACUAUUAUUACUACUACUAUAUUACUACUACUACUAUGUUAGAGGUUGUCCCUCCCCAUCACCACCACACUACUACCACCACGACCACCCUACUCUUACUGCAACCACUAAUCCCUCUGUAGCCUUUGACAUCCUUUUUGUCACCACUCAUUGUCUCUGUUAUUACUAUUAUUGUUGUCUUUCUUCCUCUUUUUACUGUAAACUGCCACCUACCUACCUACCUACUUAUGUACAGCUGUGAAGGAAUCAUCAUCAUCAUCAUCUGUGAGAAGACAUCUAACAAGAACAAAAACAAGGGAACUGUUAUGUGGUCACUUACUAGAAGCAACAGCCAAGUCCCCUUUUGAUAAAGAGAACAAUGCAUAACCUUUAUAUCAUCACUUAAUA
RNAcentral lists this unclassified non-coding RNA (2245 nucleotides) under Octopus sinensis (East Asian common octopus). RNAcentral describes it as "stress-activated protein kinase JNK, transcript variant X6". Lineage: Eukaryota; Metazoa; Mollusca; Cephalopoda; Octopoda; Octopodidae. The record is from RNAcentral.